CAGCUUGUUGGUGGGGUAACGGCCUACCAAGGCGACGACGGGUAGCCGGCCUGAGAGGGCGACCGGCCACACUGGGACUGAGACACGGCCCAGACUCCUACGGGAGGUAGCAGUGGGGAAUAUUGCGCAAUGGGCGAAAGCCUGACGCAGCGACGCCGCGUGGGGGAUGAAGGCCUUCGGGUUGUAAACCCCUUUCAGCAGGGACGAAGCGAAAGUGACGGUACCUGCAGAAGAAGCGCCGGCUAACUACGUGCCAGCAGCCGCGGUAACACGUAGGGCGCAAGCGUUGUCCGGAAUUAUUGGGCGUAAAGAGCUCGUAGGCGGUCUGUUGCGUCUGCUGUGAAAACUCGGGGCUUAACCCCGAGCCUGCAGUGGAUACGGGCAGACUAGAGGUAGGUAGGGGAGAAUGGAAUUCCCGGUGUAGCGGUGAAAUGCGCAGAUAUCGGGAGGAACACCGGUGGCGAAGGCGGUUCUCUGGGCCUUACCUGACGCUGAGGAGCGAAAGCGUGGGGAGCGAACAGGAUUAGAUACCCUGGUAGUCCACGCCGUAACGUUGGGCGCUAGGUGUGGGAUCCUUCCACGGAUUCCGUGCCGCAGCUAACGCAUUAAGCGCCCCGCCUGGGGAGUACGGCCGCAAGGCUA
This 642-nucleotide ribosomal RNA is filed under the name uncultured Actinomycetes bacterium. RNAcentral's name for it is "SSU rRNA". It matches the Rfam family "Bacterial small subunit ribosomal RNA", at positions 242 to 896 of the family's 1533-position model. Lineage: Bacteria; Bacillati; Actinomycetota; Actinomycetes. The record is from RNAcentral.